AUUGCUGGUAUCAAUUUCUACAGUCUAAAUUGAGACAUGUAUGUAUUAAACUUCUCCCCUCGCCUGUAGAAAUGGUUGUUGGUGUAAGAAAAAGGAACAUUGCACGGGUAGUUACCAACCUUCAAGUGAACUGGUCUGAAAGGUGCUGACCAUUUCUCUGAAGGGGCUGCCUCUCAUCUGUGGAUCCCCUCUGCCCUGUAUCCCUUAUCGUCCUCAUGUAAUACUGAAGCACAGCCCGGUGAGUCAUACAGUAUGUAUAGACCUACCCAUCAAACUGAACUCAGCAUAAACAUACUUUUCCAUUCCUCUUUGGAUGAAGUUUCUCAGCUCAGCAGGACUUAAGAGUUGAUUAUGUGGUCUGAUGUGAUGAUGCUUUCACACUUGACAAACAUCUGGAUGCAGUGCGUGUCAUACCACAUCCAGAGGUGGUUUCAAAGAGGCAGAUAAAUGGCAUUCGUCAGUGGAUCUAAAGUGUGUUUACACCUGGAUUUAUAUGCCAUUAAGCAAGAUCAGAUAGCCCUCCAAAAAUCUGAGAUGCAUUUCAACGCAAUGUGUAAACUGUGUAAUAAACUUAUCACUCUGA
Long non-coding RNA from Notolabrus celidotus (New Zealand spotty), 583 nucleotides. RefSeq lists it as uncharacterized. NCBI's taxonomy places the organism in Eukaryota, Metazoa, Chordata, Actinopteri, Labriformes, Labridae. The record is from RefSeq and is a predicted model, not a curated record. The transcript has 3 exons.